GGGAAAAGGGGAGGGUGUGCUGGGGGCUUCUGCUAGGUAAUGUGUAUUACUUUAUAGGGCUUUGGUGCUGAUCUGGGGUUCCAGAAGCUCUGUGUUUGCUGGAUUUCACUCACUGAAGUCUACUUCUAGGGAGUGCUCCUCCUGGUGCUGUUGCUGUUAACUUUUGCCCUGUGAACCCUGCUGUGGUGUAGCUGUGUGAGUCUGGGCUGAACGCUGGGGGUGGUCGGGGAGGAUAAAUGGAAGAAAAACUAAAAAACUGCUGCAGCUCUGCUUUCUCCUGUGCUUUGAAGUGUCUGUGGCAGCACGGACAGCAGCUCUGAGGCCUGGUGGGCCUCCCACAACGAACGUCCCCUCCACAGCGGUGUGUGGCUGCUCGAGGGCUGGUGCCAGGUGGCACAGGCCGGCCUGGGUCCAUUCUGCGAGCGGUGCUGGGGCUGUGUGGAGGCUGGGGCAAGGUGCUGGGGCUGGAGGAGCUCAGCCAGGUGUGAGUGAGGCCGAGGAGCGACCCCUCAGCUCUGUGGACCUGCAGGGACUGGCUGAGCUCCAGCUUGGCAGCGGCCACAUUGGCCCUGUGGAUGCUGCCAGAGGAAAGGGGCUGUCGUCUUGCAUGAGUGCACGUGAAGGGUGAUGCUGGAGAGGACACAAAUGAACUAUUCAAGCAUUUUUUUUCCUUCUGCUGGCAUUGGCUUGUGGUUUGGAUGCUGGCUUGAUCUACACGGAUGCGUCUGGCUGUGUUUUUUAAGACACACUGAGAGCGAGGUGUCUGGUCAGAGGCUUAUGGUGCCCUACGUCACUCCCUGGAGGUGCAGUGUGCCCUGACCCUGGAUGAAGAGGCACAGAAGGGGCUAGCACUUCAAAUCACAAAUCUGGUUUAGUGACCUUCUCAGCACAGUACAGAAAGGCCUUGGACUUUGAAAGGAUUGAAAGCAAAUGACACCCAUGGGAAAGAAGAGACGGAGAGGUGUAGCCAGAGCUGUUGCGGAGCUUUCAUCUUUAGAAAGGGGCUGAGAGCUGCCUGCUGGAAUUAGAGAAAAGACACGGUGGGAGUUCUCCCAUACCCCUUGCUAUACCUCCUAAUGGAUAGCAGCACACCUCCCACCACAGUCCUGGUGCUUACGGGGAUGACUUUAUGGUCAGGGAUGGGGUUGAUGCAAGGUACCAGUAUUUUAACAUCAGAUUCCCCUAGCCCACAUAUCACUGCUUUUUCUUGGAGUGUGAUUUAAAGCAUGGCAAGGAAAAUCACUUCUGCUGAGAGCAGUUGCUACAGCUGCCAGACUUACAUAUUUCUGGUGGCUUCGCUGAUGCCUUUCAACCUUUCCAUGUGCCUCUAAAACACCAUUAUCAAGAAAAUUUAAGACCUUACCAAAGAAGCUUAGCUGUACUAUUUUGUGCUCUGUGAUAGAGCCCUGAAAUGCUGAGCAAGGGCUUCUGAGGAAGAGCUAGGUAGCUAAAUCGACACACUUUGGGAGCUUGAGGGGCUGUUUUUUGUUGUUGUUGUUUGUUUUGUUUGGUUUUUUUUUUUUGAGAGCCUUUGUCCAAGCUGGAUGUAGAGGUCUGUCAGCAUGAGGCAGACCAAUGUCUCAGGCUUCAGCUCCUGCAAGAACCCCCUUGGAAAUAAUUAAACGCUGAUGUCAAAGCAUCUUAACAGAUGGAGGAGCUCUGUGUGCACCUUACAGCCUGCUGUAAGUUAGUGGGAGAGGCUGGAGUGCCAAAGUCUUCCUGAACUCCCUCAAUGUGGAGAAGCUGCAGAGUUUUAUAUUUCUUGGGUGUGGUAAUACGAAAACAUUAUGACUCCUUGAGAAAUUAAGGCUACUCAGGUUAAGCAUUGCAAAUCCCCCUUUUAGCCUUCCUUUCCAGAACAACCCAUGUUAAAAACCCUGGUUGUGUGGUUGGGUCAGGCUUGCAGGGGUGGGAAGACACCCCCUUGCCUUCAGUGCUGCACAUCUCAAGUUGAAGUCCUGCUGGCAACGUGCACUGAGUCAUCACAGCGGUGACUUGGUUAGGAUUCUGCACUGGGAGUUUAGGGGGUGACUUGUUUCUAAAACUGGGCUUUUAUUCUUUUGUCUGUGGGUGGAAUUAAAAGAGAACUUACGUGCAAAGCAGUUAUCAAAAUCCAGAAGCAUCUCACGUGCUUUGUGAUAACUUACCCAAAGUCUUUUGUAUUUCUGUAAAGCUGACUUCCCUUCUGCCCUCGUAUUUUCCUGGGAAGCUGAACAGUUCAGUACCUCUGUUCAUCUCCUUGCUAAUGAGUCAACACCUCUAAUGCUUUCAGAAUGAAAUAGGCAUUCAUAUGUUGCAGAUGCUUAUGUAACAUCAGUGGCAGAGGCUCAUUUUUAAUGAAUUCAUCCCUGGUGGUGUGAGUUUUCAUGUGUGCAGUCACCUUUAUAGCAGCCGGAUAACUGCAUGAUUAAACCCCAUCGUUGUUAGUCGAGCAGUGGUAGUUCCCUGCAGGAAAGAGGAGAUGCAGAGCAUCAGUGAACAUGUGAAGCCCUUCCAGGUUAUUCAGCAAGUCUCCUGGUUAGAACUCGAGAGUAAGAGGUUUUUUUCUUAUGAAAAUGAGGGAUAUGUGAACAACCUCACCUGAGAAAGAGCCAUCUUGUUCUCUUUUUUUUCCUUUUCUUUUGCUAUUUAUCUUUCUUGUGAAAUAUGAUUAGACAGAAGGAUGAAUUUGGCAAACAGCAGGAGAGCCUUGCCUGCUAUCAGACUAGCUGGUACAACGGGGAGACAGAUGCUUAACAAGCUCUCAAAGUAGGAAACUUCCAAUUAGUAUUGAUUAGAAACAUUUUUUUUUUUCUUAUUGUAACUACUAUAGUGUGGUGUGUGUUGUCAUUAGCACUUUUUCUUGUUACAGCUGUUUUUUGGCUUUGUUUACUCAUUGGAAUGUGAACGAAAAGAUGGCCUUUCCUUUCCUCUAUAUCAUUACGAACCUAGUUAACUGGAUUACAUAUGGAAACAAUUUAGGGGGGAAAAACACUAGACCUGUAGUAAUUGUAGAGCUGUAUCUAGGCUGUUUGCUGAAUGCAGUGAGAAAGGAGAUAACUUUCUGCUUUUGCUGAAAGCUCAGUGAGUGGGGAAAGUCUGGGCUGCUGCAGAAUAAACCCGGAGCUGGUGGCAGGAGUGCCUCUUAUGUUGCAACAGCCAUCCACGUACUGGCUCUUUGCUGCUUAUGUAAAACUGUCAGUGCACCUGAGGGGUAAGGCCACCGUUUUUAGGAAGGAGAAAGUCAUAAGCAUGGAGCAGGCAUUUACAUCCCUGUGACCUGCUCCCUGGUUCUCGCAGCGCUGUGUCCUGGCUGUAGCUUUCUUGCAUGAGGCUGCUCAGGCCCUGAUUCAAAUCCUGCAAAAACUACUGGGGUGACUUUCAUUAACUGCAGAAACCAGAUCUGGCCCUAAAAGAUGGACAAAGACUUCUGACACGCCUGCUCCUGGCGAGGCUUUUAUGCCUCCGGCUAUCAGAUGUGUGCUCCACCGAGCAGCAGCAUUAAAGAUGCAUGGCCUGUGGCAUCUCUGUUUCCUGGUGGGCUGGUGAGGGCUGCUUGGGUCUGGGUGGGGGCUGCAGUGCUGAAAUUCUCCGUGGGCUCCUCUCCUGUGGUCAGGAGCUGAUGAGCUCUGUGUGUCUGAGCCAGACUGUCCAGGCAGAGCCAUCGGUGCCUUGAUGUAAGGAUGGGCUCAGAGUCAGGAGGAAAUCUCCUCCUGGGGCUCUGCUCUAGGGUGAGAGCAGUGUGGGGAUGCUCCUGGGAGAGGAGAGGGACCUGAGUGUGGCAGCAGAGACAGCUCCAUGGAAAAGCCUCACCUGGCACCUGGAAGGUGAAGCUCCUCAAACAGCAGGUGGGGACAUGGCAGGGCUGCUUCAUCUGAGGGCCUCCAGGAUAAAAAUGCCCACAAAAAACAAGGGUUUGGGAUUCAGGAACCCCCUUUGCGUUUUUUCUGUUCCCAAAGGUUGCGAGGCCAAGUUUCUUUCAGAUUGGAUUUAUAAUACAUUAAAUAAUUGUAUAUUAAACAAAUGUCAGACACACCCUUAAACACUUCAGCUUGUUAAAUACCUGAAUGCCACAGGGGAUUUUAUGGCUAAACACUCCAUGCGCUGUGCAAACCAGCUUAUCGGACAGUAUUUGCUUAUUCUGGGGAGAAAGCUCGCGGAUGAGAACAAAGCACUGAUGAGUUUCUAGUGCAGUGCACGGAGAUAAUGUCAUAAAUUGCCAAUCGAUAGGUGUCCAGCUGAAGGUAGAAGGGCUUUUAAUGGUAGGGUAGGAAAUAUCAAAGCAAAUUAUGGGCACGACUGCUGUGACUAACCUGCUUGCCUCUGAGGACAGGUCUUGAUCCAGCUUGAGCCAUUGGCCUAGAAGGAAGGGGAAGGGUAGGGGCUGAGCUGCAGCCUCCUGGUGGCUCCCACCUCGCUCCUGUGGGGCAGGCUCUGCUCUUUGCGAGGCAUGGAUGGAGCCACUUCUCUGCUGGCUUUCCGUGCCAGUCUUUCUCUAAAAUUCAAGACCAUUACCCACGGCAAUGGCUUAUUUUAGUUACAGGAGGGGAGUGGGCAUAGCUGAAAAUAAAAUAACGUUGUGUUAUCUAAAAGCAAAGCCACCCUUCAUUAAGUUCCAGCAUCCAGGUGGUGCUUUGGGAGUGCCUUGCUUUGACCAACUUCUCAUACAAAAACUCUUCAGCACUGACCCUUGGGCUGCCCAGGGGUGUCUGUUUUCAGGUAGCCAGAAGCUCUUGCUUCUGAUUCAAAGCCCUUUUGGCACAGGAGGGUGGCUUUGAGCUGUCAUUUCAAAUUCUCCAAUGGCAGCACCUGCGCUAAUGUUAGCACAGCGAGUUCGUGUGGCACCAGGAGCGUGCCAUGCCCUUGUGUCUUGACUCUAAGUUGUGUCUGGCCCAUAAAGUCUUUCCAUCAGAGUUUCUCGGAGGCUUGCAAACACUGGGUUAGACCAGCUUACUUCUGACCUUCAAAAUUUCCAGCCAGAUGCAAAGUUUGCACCUUGAGACAAUCUUUCUAAUUAAUCUCCCCACCCUGCUGUGAAGAAGGUAAGUAACAGGCAUUAACUGCGGUUCGGGGAUUGGAGGAGAGGAGUAAGAUGCAGAGCUGUGAUAGCAUAAGAGGUUUUCAGCCCACAAACCACACUGGAGGCAGAAGAAGACCGCAGCAGUGUUGUCCAGGUGGGCUUCCCCCAGAAACCGCCUGGGACAGCGCUUGCCCCAUGCAGGACAGAGGCUGCACAGGGGACUCGGGCAUUAGCAAAGACGUAGGGAUUAAUUAGCGGAUUAAAGCCACGAUUGCUAAGGGCUGGUGCUUGAGGUGGACUCGACUCUGGUGCAGUGUUGGGAGGUGGAAACCAGCCCCAGGUGUCAGUGCUGGGCGCUCGGCAGCCCUGCACUGGGAGCUGAGCACCCAGUGCCCCAGGCGAGGCACCCGAGGGUGGAGAGGAGCAUGGGGAUAGAAAGGAGAGCUCAGCUUCACGCUCGGCACCGGGCAGGUGGCCAGCUCCUGACCACAGGGACUUUAACCAGGAACCCUGCAGGCCAUGGAUCUCUGCCCAUCGGUCUGCAAUGUUUCUUUCUUGCCAAGGGUGUGAACUCUUGCAGUACGUGCACAGGUCAGCCUGGCCCUGGCUCUCUCCAGCUUUUGGAGAGGUUUGCUCUAAGCCUACUCCUGGUUUUGUGCCUACAAAUGGUCCUUCCCCUGGGUAAGGCCUGGAUGUUAAUGCUGUGUUGCUGCUGGAGCUGGUGUGACACGCGUUACCUGUGGUGAGCUGGCCUCCAUGCCCACAGGGAGGAGGAGGAACGGGUGCCAGGCAGCCGAUCUGCCCCUCUGCCUCUUUAGUCCCAUGGUUCUGCUGCCACUUUCAGCCUUCCCUGGGUGCCCUCCUGCCUCCUCGCUGCUGAUUUCCUUCCUCCAGCUCUCCUUUUCCAGUCGCGCCCUGGUUAUGCCAUGUAACUAUCUGCAAGGCACUGAGAGCCUUCCCAUAACUUCAGCACUUCCCAAGCCCCUGAAUGAGUUUAUUUUUCACAGUGAAUUACCAAUACCAGUGCUCGUGCUGGGGCACCCUUCUCUCAGCCGUGGUCUCACCACAACAGCACCCAUCUCAGCCCCGUCUCCUUGUCUUGUCCCUGGCAGCUUCCUCCUCAACAAGCCAGGCCCCACAGCCAGGUCACUCCUCCCCUUGCACUGCUCAUUUCCUCCCACCAUUUGUGUUCAGAGCCUCUUAUCCUCAUUGUUAAACCUGCAAGAUUUCCCCCUUCAUCCCCCUUUUCUGUCCCUAUCUCUCCCACCCCUCUGUGCCCCUGCCUAGCUCACUUCACCUCUUGCCCUGGGCCAGCCCCAGUGCUCAAAGCAGCCCAUUGCCAUGACCAACAUGUGCCUUCAGUUCUUAUCUCGUGGCUCGUUUC
Anas platyrhynchos (mallard) is the source of this 6383-nucleotide non-coding RNA. The record is from RefSeq and is a predicted model, not a curated record. NCBI's taxonomy places the organism in Eukaryota, Metazoa, Chordata, Aves, Anseriformes, Anatidae.